UAUUAAAAAGCUUUCAAACUGGGAUUAGAUACCCCACUAUGCUCAACUGUAAACCUUGGAAAAAUUUGCACAAUAUUGACUCGCCUGAAAAUUACAAGCGUAAGCUCAAAACUCAAAGGGUCUGGCGGCACUUUAAACUAUCUAGAGGAGCUUGUCCUAUAAUCGAUAAUCCCCGUUAAACCUCACCUUCUUUAGCUUAUCAGCCUGUAUACCGCCGUCGUCAGCUUACCCCCUAAAGGGUACACAGUAAGCAAAACUGGCUUUGCCCAAAACGUCAGGUCGAGGUGCAGCUUACAAGAAGGGAAGAGAUGAGCUACAUUUCCUGUACAGGAAAUACGAAUAGUACACUGAAAUGUGUACAUUGAAGGAGGAUUUAGAAGUAAGUAAAAAAUAGAGUGUUUUACUGAAAAAGGUCUUAAAGUGCGUACACACCGCCCGUCACCCUCUAACAGUCAAUUUUA
The sequence is a ribosomal RNA, 461 nucleotides long. It matches the Rfam family "Bacterial small subunit ribosomal RNA", at positions 750 to 1419 of the family's 1533-position model.